RNAcentral lists this transfer RNA (61 nucleotides) under Dipodomys ordii (Ord's kangaroo rat). The record is from Rfam by way of RNAcentral. Lineage: Eukaryota; Metazoa; Chordata; Mammalia; Rodentia; Heteromyidae.
GGCGCUGUGGCUCAAGUGGUAGAGCGUUAGCCUCAUGCUGAAGAGCUCAGGGACAGCGCCU